UCUUUCUUUUGCUGGCGACCGGCGCACGGGUGAGUAACACGUAUCCAACCUGCCCUUUACUCGGGGAUAGCCUUUCGAAAGAAAGAUUAAUACCCGAUAGCAUAAUGAUUCCGCAUGGUUUCAUUAUUAAAGGAUUCCGGUAAAGGAUGGGGAUGCGUUCCAUUAGGUUGUUGGUGGGGUAACGGCCCACCAAGCCUUCGAUGGAUAGGGGUUCUGAGAGGAAGGUCCCCCACAUUGGAACUGAGACACGGUCCAA
Molecule: ribosomal RNA, 256 nt
Filed under: uncultured bacterium
Lineage: Bacteria
Description: partial 16S ribosomal RNA
Rfam family: Bacterial small subunit ribosomal RNA
Source: RNAcentral